AGUUUCAUUAGCUUGAGAGAGAGGAGGAGAAACUCAGAAGAGCUGAGCGGCGCAUAUACAUUCAAUCCUCUCCCUCAUUUUCAAGAGAGUCAAUGAAAAUAUAGAUAGUUUAUCAUCUAAUAGAGAGAGUUGCAUAUGUUUUAGACACUCAACCUACCAAGGAAUCAAACUAUCAUUUAAACUCGCACAACAACAUUGUUUCUGUUUCCGAACUCAACCGCACCACCAACGAUAUUGAAUCUGCAUCUCACGCUGUCAACCUCUCUUCAACGGUUUCAGUUUUGCUCAGUUUCAUAUUAAUCUUGCUAGGGGCUUCUGUUGAGCUAAGGUGGUGAUAUUUAUUUGGGUCAAUUCAUAUUGGGUUAGUGUUUGUAAUGAUGCGCGUAUUUCGGUUAUCUAUUACAGUCUGAUUAUUCCAUGUUUGCGCUGGAUUUUGAUGCUAUAAUAAUGAUGGUGUGACACCUAUGCAAUGUUGAGAAUAGUUUGACUUGCAUGUAAAUUACAAUCACUCUCUUGUGUUAACACCAUCUUAAAUUUAUAACAUGCUUAUAUAUUGGUAUGCUUAGACUUUACGUUUAACAGUUUUGUUAUGAAUCUUCAUAAGCCGUCAUUUUUCAUGCUAAGAAAAUAGUACACUCACUUUUUCUGCUAGAAACCUCCUUUGAGUUUAAUAUUAGUCAUGGCAUGAGAAAAUGUUAUUGAUUUAAGUUAUUUAGGACUUGUUUGGUUUGAGAUAAUGUUUCUUGUGUUUACCAAUAAUUACAAGUUUCUACAAAAUUAUUACUUCAUUGUUUUCAAAAAUAAUUAAAAGGUUUUCAUUGUUUCAUAUACAAACACCAGUAUUUGAAAUAGGGAGUGCAAUGAAAAUAAGGUGGUUACUUUUGUAAGUGUUAAUGAAAACUAGAAAUGAACAUAAGGAAUUUUAACUGUAAUAAAAUAUGCUAAAGUUAGCCAUGAAUAGUCUAAUAAGUAAACUCACAUGUUAUAGUUGGGGCCAAUUGCAUUAUGUUGUUUUUCUUUUUGACUGAAAAAGUAUUUUAUGAGAAUAUUUUAUGAGAUCUUUCAAUGUGGGAUGUUGGCUACUUAGGACUCGUUGUAGUGUCUUUUCACCUUGAAAAGUAUUGAGUAAAAUUAUUAGGAUGUAAA
This is a long non-coding RNA of Lathyrus oleraceus (garden pea), 1146 nucleotides long. RefSeq lists it as uncharacterized. The record is from RefSeq and is a predicted model, not a curated record. Lineage: Eukaryota; Viridiplantae; Streptophyta; Magnoliopsida; Fabales; Fabaceae. The transcript has 2 exons.